RNAcentral lists this ribosomal RNA (254 nucleotides) under uncultured bacterium. RNAcentral's name for it is "partial 16S ribosomal RNA". It matches the Rfam family "Bacterial small subunit ribosomal RNA", at positions 524 to 776 of the family's 1533-position model. The record is from RNAcentral.
UACAGAGGUCUCAAGCGUUGUUCGGAUUCAUUGGGCGUAAAGGGUGCGUAGGUGGCGAGGCAAGUCUGAUGUGAAAUCCCGGGGCUCAACCCCGGAACUGCAUUGGAUACUGCCCUGCUUGAGCACUGGAGAGGAGACUGGAAUUUACGGUGUAGCAGUGAAAUGCGUAGAUAUCGUAAGGAAGACCAGUGGCGAAGGCGAGUCUCUGGGACAGUUGCUGACACUGAGGCACGAAGGCUAGGGGAGCAAACGGG